RNAcentral lists this ribosomal RNA (508 nucleotides) under uncultured glomeraceous AM fungus. Its description in RNAcentral is "SSU rRNA". It matches the Rfam family "Eukaryotic small subunit ribosomal RNA", at positions 569 to 1078 of the family's 1831-position model. The record is from RNAcentral. Lineage: Eukaryota; Fungi; Glomeromycota; Glomeromycetes; Glomerales; Glomeraceae.
AGCAGCCGCGGUAAUUCCAGCUCCAAUAGCGUAUAUUAAAGUUGUUGCAGUUAAAAAGCUCGUAGUUGAAUUUCGGGGUUAGUAGAUUGGUCAUGCUUCUGGUAUGUACUGGUCUCACUGAUUCCUCCUUCCUGAUGAUCCGUAAUGCCAUUAAUUUGGUGUUGCGGGGAAUUUGGACUGCUACUUUGAAAAAAUUAGAGUGUUUAAAGCAAGCUAACGCUUGAAUACAUUAGCAUGGAAUAAUGAAAUAGGACGUUCGAUCCUAUUUUGUUGGUUUCUAGGAUUGACGUAAUGAUUAAUAGGGAUAGUUGGGGGCAUUAGUAUUCAAUUGUCAGAGGUGAAAUUCUUGGAUUUAUUGAAGACUAACUACUGCGAAAGCAUUUGCCAAGGAUGUUUUCAUUAAUCAAGAACGAAAGUUAGGGGAUCGAAGACGAUCAGAUACCGUCGUAGUCUUAACCAUAAACUAUGCCGACUAGGGAUCGGAUGAUGUUAAUUUUUUAAUGACUCA